GGGGGAUAACGUUCGGAAACGGACGCUAAUACCGCAUACGUCCUACGGGAGAAAGCAGGGGACCUUCGGGCCUUGCGCUAUCAGAUGAGCCUAGGUCGGAUUACCUAGUUGGUGGGGUAAUGGCUCACCAAGGCGACGAUCCGUAACUGGUCUGAGAGGGUGAUCAGUCCCACUGGAACUGAAACACGGUCCAUACUCCUACGGGAGGCAGCAGUGGGGAAUAUUGGACAAUGGGCGAAAGCCUGAUCCAGCCAUGCCGCGGGUGUGAAGAAGGUCUUCGGAUUGUAAAGCACUUUAAGUUGGGAGGAAGGGUUGUAGAUUAAUACUCUGCAAUUUUGACGUUACCGACUGAAUAAGCACCGGCUAACUCUUGUGC
RNAcentral lists this ribosomal RNA (376 nucleotides) under uncultured bacterium. RNAcentral describes it as "bacterial SSU rRNA". It matches the Rfam family "Bacterial small subunit ribosomal RNA", at positions 138 to 508 of the family's 1533-position model. The record is from RNAcentral.